UCCCUAGUGGCUCAGAGGGAAAGCGUCUGUCUUCAAUGUGGGAGACCCGGGUUCGAUCCCUGGGUUGGGAA
This 71-nucleotide transfer RNA is filed under the name Ovis aries (sheep). It matches the Rfam family "tRNA". From Rfam's summary of the family: Transfer RNA (tRNA) molecules are approximately 80 nucleotides in length. The record is from Rfam by way of RNAcentral. Lineage: Eukaryota; Metazoa; Chordata; Mammalia; Artiodactyla; Bovidae.